UUCCGCUGUACAUAAUCGUGGAAAGCUGGGAAACGGAAGCGACGUCGGCGCGACGUCGGCGCAACGUCACGCAUACGGGAAGAGCACUCGACGAAGAAGUUGAGGAAAAGAGUGUGCCGAUCGCGGCGUCGAGAUUUCGAUCCGUUCAAUGUCAAAGCCUGGCAUCAUCAUCCAGUGCACCUUUUACUGCGCAUCGGCAGAUGCAGCAGCGUGUAGCGUAGUGGUUCGUCAAAGCCUCUGCUCGCGAGUUAGUCAUCGACUGGCGGAGAUCCGAUCGUGCAUACAGCCGCGAUUGAGGACUAUUAAACGGAUGACCUUUCACUACCUAGAAGAUCUACAUACACCUACGUACGGGAGCAUACGCGGCCGCGAGGUACCCGCGUGCAUUCGUGUUACGCAAUCACGAUCGUUCUUCUCUCCCUCUUCCUCUCUUUUCCGCUAAUUCUCUCCGCCUCUCUCUCUCUCUCCCUCGCCCUCUCCAUCACCAGUUAGACACGCACGCUGUUCCAGCGUUUCGGAUCCGAAGGGCAAGUCUACCGACGAUUCGCCGUUUUAAUCCAUUUACGCUUCUUUCGGGCAGAAUUAGACGUGCCGAACGCCAGCGUACUUCCGUUAUUCCACGCUGUUCCCAGUUUUAAUUCGUCGUAUAAUCUCCGUUUCACCCUACCACGGCCAUCGAAUGUGAAAAUAUUUCAAAACUAUCGUAAGAGUAUCUGUAACGAACGAGCUCUCUUCGACACUUUCCCAAUGUUAAAUAACGUUCGAAUCUAUAUUCCGAUAUCGAUCAAAUAUAGAAAUAGUUUCCGAACGUUUAUUAGUUUCCACCAAGGAACACGAUGUCAUGGAAUUUACAGCUUCUUGUUGUUUGUAAAGGUAGAACGAACUACGAACGAAAGUAGACAAGUUUGAGAGUAGAGCGUUCGAAUGAACUCUAGACGGUAUUUUAAGUAAUAAAUACUGUAUCAAUUGGCAAUAUACAAAAUGAGUAGUAACGAUCGAUGGUAACGUCGCAAUUACGCCUCAUUGUUACACUGUACAGCGACGGUAUUGGCUGGAAUGGAAUUUUACAAGAACGCAUCGGAAUGCACCGAUAUGCGCGUUAUUUUUCUGCAGCCAGCCAUUCGCUAGGAACCGCUUUUAUUUGGUUGCACUUACACUCGCUACCUUGUAAUCGCCUUGCAGGCAUAUUUUAAUAAAGCCAAGAUCGCUGCUUUUGGCUCGGCCUUGCUGCCGCGUAUAAAUGAGUCAGGCGGAAACGAGAAACGUCAAGUGAUGACCAACGUUUCGCGAGAAGUAGAGCCCCGUGCUCUCUAUGCAAUUUCAUAUUUGUUUCAAGAUGAGCGUGCUUCCUCGGAAUAAAUCGGCCAAUCACGACGAUCUAAAUACCGUCGAUCCGUUAUAUCGGGAGGCUGCUUCCGCAAUUUUUAUGCGUUCGAUUUAAAUUCGUUUUGUACUAUUCUAACAGGCGAAAGUGCAAUUUUACAUUUUAGUAGUUGGUAUUCUCAUAAAAAUAGCCCGAUUCGCGCAAUGAUUCACAUUACGUAAUCCUAUUUUCAUAAAUUUACUCCAAUUCUGUUUACUAUGGUUCAAGUUUACCGCGUCUGCGAUAGAUUCGAUAUGUUUUCGCCGUUUGAAGGAAUUUUUAUAAAUGUACGAUACAUCAAUAAAAUGAUUCCAUGCGUAAAACUUUCCGAAGCUCUUUAAACUCGGCGAGACUUUCAUCGGUAUAGUUAGCUCUAGCCGAUACAAUUGCAACAUAGCGUAGCCUUGAAUAAUUAUUCUCGACGCCUUGUUACGAUUGUGAAUCGGAAAUCGACGCACCGAGCCCCAUCGUUGUUAUCGUUCGACGAGAAAAAUUGCUAGAUAGGUCGACGAUUAACGCGAUCGAGAGAAGCGAAGGAAAUUCAAAGCGGAUAGGUGAUCCGAAGCGUUGGUCGAUUAUUCGUUUGUUUAUUCACGCUUGGUCAGUCGUGACGGCACUGUAGCCGCAGUUAACGAUGACUUCCGACACGUUACGUCGACUUUUCAAAAUGUUACGCAAUCGCGCGCGUUGCGGCUGAUCGUCGUGCUACCUGCGAAUCCUAUUAUAGGCGCCGCUGUUGCAUCCAUUUGCCUUCGUGCUGUUUGAAAAUUCUAUGCAAAUUUCAUUCUCCGUCAACCUCUAUCUGCAUACAGUGGUUUAAAGGAAAACAUUCGCUUCCGUGAAUCAGCCUUAUUUCUCUGCUUAUCGAAAUUUCGUUUUUCAUCCUUUUGCUAUCUACGUCGAACUUUGAUGUCACUCGGUCGUAUCGAAUCGCGCGCUAUCUCUCCUACGCAAGUAGCAAUUACCGUUAAUCUGUUCCAUUCCGCGGGCUUUCUAACUACGUCAUUCGGGAAUUUCGGCUUCAAAAGCGAGACGCACCGACGGCAUAUUGGACAAACGGUGCGUCGAUCGCUUUGGUUCAGUUUCCGCCGAGCCGAAAGAAAUCGACCGAUCCCCCUUUCCCUCGAAAUUCUAGCAUAGUAAAGAACUAUCCGCUGGAACAACACGAUCUAGCGUCCGCUAGAGCGGCAUGUGCCGUGCUACACGAUACUUUUAUGCGCGUCCACACCGCCGUCGACUGGACACUUACGUAAUCGCAAUGAUCUCACACUGUGGGUGGGGACUUGUCGCUAACGCGUGUGCCUUUGAGGCCGUAUUGGUCUGCCACCUGAGCGUGUGUGCGCGCACACGCGUUCCGUCCCUGUACAGCAGAAGCGUACACCGUGUCCGAAAAGUCUGCACCAUGUGGAAAGCCGUUUGCAUUGUUUGCCCGAGAUAAGAGCGAGAGAAGAAGAGCGAGAGAAGAGCGAGAGAUGGCCGGCUUUCCAGCCCCGAAAAGAUACUCUUGAAAACGGAAGAUAGGUCGCGUUGAUACCGCGUUUAUCUUCUCUAGUCGGAGUCGAGUAAGUCUCGUUGUAGUCCGAUAUCGCGCAACCAGUAGCAUUGUUCGGCCGAUGCGAACGCGGCGAGAUUAUUUCCGAAACGCAACGCGGGGCUAUUUCAAUUUUUCCGAACGUUCUAUCUGGGUCGCUGCGUUGGUUCGAUGGAAAUCGACCCCGUGCUUUUAUCGCUUACGAUUAUCUAAUCCGACACCUCGACACCUUGCAAUUACCUUUGCCGCGUUCUGCCCCUGUUCCAUCUGACAACUGGUUCCGCAGGAAAACGCUACUAGCUUAACGAAGCGAUUAUUCGUUCGUAACUUUUCCUUCAUUCUCUCCCGAUUCUCUCUCGAUUCUCUCUCGAUUCUCUCUCUCGACCGUUUCGAAUCGAACGGCCACCGGACACGGUUAAGAUAACCAGGAAACGUUAAACGCCACGCAACAGGACGAAACGGGGCGAAAUUCGGUAUGUAUGUAGGUCGGUCGUUCCGCGACGCGACGUAACAAGCUCCGGGGAUGAUUAGCGUGUCACAAGAGGGAGACUACGAUUGCGAGAUCGUUUGAGAGUAACAAUGGCGAAGGAGAAAUUACGCUGUCAGUUGGAUGUACACGAGCAGCGAGAGGCACGUAAGCGAGCAUGUGGGGCUGUGACGUUCAACCUCAAAGCCAAAGGAAUUUGCGCACUCACGAGACCCGAGCACGGUAGCCUGAUCCUAAAGACUUGCAGUGUGACUGGCACCUCUCCCCUAGCCGACACGUUCACUCUGGGAGGAAGCAGUGCCAUCAUUCCGGAAACACCGCCCGGAACACCGACUACGUCGUAAUCCAAUUCCAUCGAGUACGGUAACUGACAAUUGCAUCCCUGGAUAAUCGAGGGAAAGCAUCUUUACGUAAUCUGCAGAAGCUCCUUUCAUUCCUGCAAUAUGUUUUAAUUAUACGGUCAAAUUGGCUUGCCCAUUCCAUUUUUUCUAUCGAAGAAUAAGAAGAUAAGUUAAUCUCACAAAUGCUCCGGUAAAAUUUCGUUGAGUCAGAGAUUCGAUGCAACGUCCAGGGAUAGAGAUCUUGAUAGAGACGAGAACGAUAGUCGAUCAACUGAGUUCAGUUACGUUCGUUUGCUUGAUAUCCACUUCAGGAUCCUCGUAAUAACGUAAAAACGUUUACUUAGGAAAUGUCUGCUUUCAUUCAGGGCCUGUUAACUCCGGCACGCAGAUUUCGAAUCAGCUACCACGAACACUUGAACCGCUUUCCAGCCACGCACGGCUUCGUGUAUACUUCAUUGUGUACGGAACAAACCUCCGUUCCACGUGAAUCCGUACACCGUACAUUAUAGGCAUUGUUGGCGACGACGAAAAGGACGCCGUGUACGCUACACUAUCCUGCCCCGUGACAACAUCAACAAAACACAUGCACCUCCUGAUGGAUGCGGACUUCUCCAUUUGAAUAUUUCGAAAUUGUUUUGGUGAUUUCGUUAUCGGUCACCGUUUGAACAAAAGAAUACACAGUACUCUAUGCGAGAAUUCGAACGUUUACAGUGGUGUACAAAAGUACCUGGCCAGAUAGAUUUUACAUUUUAUAUUUCAAAAGCAGUGUAUAAAAGGAUUUUACGGAUAGAAGAGAUAAAAAAAUCGUCAAACAUCGAGCGAUAACCAAACAUACGAAUAAUAGGAAAUUUUUAUUCGAGAAUUUAGUUUCGAAUAACAUAUAUCUCACUCGUUAUAUUUCCAUUUAGCUUUUAUCUGCCUUUAUCGUUUAUCGUUGUCUCUCCUCGUCAUUUUGUAGCGUCUGAAUAUUACAUAAUUGACCGAUUAGAAAUAAUUUUAGGUGAUAACAUUGUUGCGUGGUCACACAUGAUAUUAGUUAAAUUUCUUUGAAAUAUCGUUUUUGUAACACAAAAUGAAAAAUCUAUCUGACCAAAAACUUAACUUAGCUUAAGCCUAUCCAUUGCACGUACGCACUGUAUCGAUAUAAAGAUGUAUGAAAUAUAUUUGCCUCGUUUUUACAUUUAUUACACAACGCCCACAAUCUCGCGGUAUGUUUUGGGGUUAGGUUGGGGUUAGGUUUGGGCAGUGAAAAGGUGAAAUAAUAACGGAAGGAUGUUACGAUUUAUCGAUCGUGAUAAAUUUGUGAAAGUUUUAAAAUGAUAUAUAAUUAUUGGAAUAAAAUCGAUAAAGAAUCGAGAAAAAAUAAUGUAAAACAAUUUUUUUGUAUAAUUUAUGCGUUUGUUCCCUUCGAUCUGAAGAGAAGCGUAUUUCAAAAGGAAAUGUAAUACAUAAUCGUACCAGCGUUAUACUUAUGAAAAGUUGCAUUCAAAUAUGAUAUAAGCAAUAAUACGCUACUGCUUUAAGGAUUACACGAUCGUAUUUAUGUAUAAUGGAUCGACAUCAAAGAUUUUAAACGAAUCAAAGGUAUUAUCGACAUUUUAAAUCGAAUCGCCGAUUAUUCGCGUCCUUUGUGCUAUUCCGGUGAACGAAGCGAAUUGGUUGAUUCCGAGCGAUGUAUUUACGUGCGUGCCAUGGAGUGUGGGUGAUGAAAAGUGUGCAACCAUGCAAAAACUGCGCUGAUAAAUGCGGCAUGUAACGCGGGGAAAAAGAUUACCGAUGAUUGCUGUUUUGAUGAUUAAUCGGCACGCAUGGUUUACAAUCUGUAUUUCAAUGUUUUCAGAUAGACACCUAUAAUCAAUUAUAUCGUGUUUCCUGAAUGUAAUGUAAUGCUUUGAUGCAAUUUAAAAUAGAAUAAUUUAUAAUAUAAAGCCAUGAAAAUCCAACAAUCGAUCGAGGUGUCAUUGAUAUAACGUGCAAAAACAAUAAAUAUUUCUAUGUACAUAGUACAAAUACAUUAGGU
Bombus pyrosoma is the source of this 5742-nucleotide long non-coding RNA. RefSeq lists it as uncharacterized. The transcript is spliced from 4 exons. The record is from RefSeq and is a predicted model, not a curated record. Lineage: Eukaryota; Metazoa; Arthropoda; Insecta; Hymenoptera; Apidae.